Molecule: long non-coding RNA, 1222 nt
Filed under: Cricetulus griseus (Chinese hamster)
Lineage: Eukaryota; Metazoa; Chordata; Mammalia; Rodentia; Cricetidae
Description: lncRNA (ENSCGRG00015041640.1)
Source: RNAcentral
CUGAGAGGUGAGCCCCACGCUGGGUAGUCUUGGGGCCACCCCCUUUAUUUGUUUGCUUGGGGUUGCUGGAGAUCCAGCCUGGGAGCCUCCUGUACACUGAAUAAGCCCUGUGCCCCAUACCUGCUGUGCCUCUCCAGCCUGGGAGUAAAGCAAAGAGGCUUUGAGCUUUCCCACGCAGAACCCCCUGAAAGCGGCAGGGAGACUGAGGAGCGGUGGCCGCUGCAGAGGAGACAGAUAUCAAGCAGACCACAAGCUGCAUUCCAGACCCAACUGUGGCCCUCAGGAUGCGACCUGCCAGCAGGAGCCUUGUGGCUCCUCUCCUUCCCACCUAUGGGGUCUACAACCAGAGACCAGAGGGACCCCUCCUGGCAUGCUCUGUAUGCCUCACAGCCAACCUCCCGCCCUGGCUCAGAACUGACUCCUAAGGGUGGCGCUCUCUCUCUCUCUCUCUCUCUCUCUCUCUCUCUCUCUCUCUCUCUCUCUCUCUCUCUCUCUCUCUCUCUCUCUCUCUCUCUCUCUCUCUCUCUCUGUAGCUCCACCUCACCUGCUUCCCCGGGGAGCCCCCAGGAGCCAGAGGAAGCUGAGCAGCAGCAAUAUGGGUGCAGCAGGCUGGGACAGAACCGGAUCCACACCGGAGCGCCAUGAGGACAGAGCCUCGUGUGUGAGCUCUGAGCCACGGCUCCAGGCUCCCACACAGUGGACUUUCUGCUCUGCCUGGCAUGAAAACUGGAAUGAUUUCACCUUUGAGCUCCUCAGCCUCCCUCUCUUCUCCCCACUGCCGGGACCUCAGUGCUGUAGAAAGGGAGGGAACAGGAAGCUAUGGCAUGCCUAUUAGGGGCCAGGUGGGAGAGCCCCACCCAUGGCCUGCCUGCCCCCAUGGCUGCCCCCACUCCCCUAGAGUAUACACCAGAACAAAGCCUCUGCUUGGUGUAAGCCCUUCUGCCUUGCUUCAAGUUCCCUCUGCCCUCUCUCCACCAUAACAGCCACCAGUCACGGGGCUCCGGGGCUGUGACCAUACUGAGGAAUAACGCAGAAUUCAACCUGAAGUCUUUUCUCUAUCAAAAGAGCUGGACUCAGUCCCCAGAAAGAAAAGUCAGCUAGCCAUGGAAACAAAAAUGCAGGCUUAGGGUUGAUGGCAAUGACAGGAAUUUUUGCCUGAAGAAGCUGGUUUGUGGGGCUUGGGAGAUGACUCCACCAGUAAAGCACUUGUUGGGCAAUCCUG